This 402-nucleotide ribosomal RNA is filed under the name uncultured Brevundimonas sp. RNAcentral's name for it is "bacterial SSU rRNA". It matches the Rfam family "Bacterial small subunit ribosomal RNA", at positions 355 to 774 of the family's 1533-position model. The record is from RNAcentral. Lineage: Bacteria; Pseudomonadati; Pseudomonadota; Alphaproteobacteria; Caulobacterales; Caulobacteraceae.
UGGGGAAUCUUGCGCAAUGGGCGAAAGCCUGACGCAGCCAUGCCGCGUGUAUGAUGAAGGUCUUAGGAUUGUAAAAUACUUUCACCGGUGAAGAUAAUGACUGUAGCCGGAGAAGAAGCCCCGGCUAACUUCGUGCCAGCAGCCGCGGUAAUACGAAGGGGGCUAGCGUUGCUCGGAAUUACUGGGCGUAAAGGGAGCGUAGGCGGACAUUUAAGUCAGAGGUGAAAUCCCGGAGCUUAACUUCGGAACUGCCUUUGAUACUGGAUGUCUUGAGUGUGAGAGAGGUAUGUGGAACUCCGAGUGUAGAGGUGAAAUUCGUAGAUAUUCGGAAGAACACCAGUGGCGAAGGCGACAUACUGGCUCAUUACUGACGCUGAGGCUCGAAAGCGUGGGGAGCAAACA